This is a long non-coding RNA of Clupea harengus (Atlantic herring), 748 nucleotides long. NCBI's taxonomy places the organism in Eukaryota, Metazoa, Chordata, Actinopteri, Clupeiformes, Clupeidae. The record is from Ensembl.
CAAGGAGAGGGAGACAGUGAGAGAAAGACAAGGAGAGGGAGACAGCGAGAGAAAGGGAGAGAGACAGGUGGAGAGAGAGAUAUUGUGACAGACAAGAAGAAGACAAAGAGAAGAGACAGAAGGGGAGAGAGGACCCCUUGACUCAAGGCCCAUUGUGCACAGAGCACUAUAUGAGUUAUGACACGUUCAUCUGGGCUCUUCUGAAGUGGGUAAUUGUGGGUAACUGUCUAAUAGAGAAACUGAUCACCGUUAAAUGCUGAGGAUUUCUCUGCCGACGCAGUUCAUUUCCCGACAGUGGCACUGAUCGCUCUUUCACACUCUCUGAAGUUUCUGUGCUGGGUACGAAUGCACUGCCGUUCCUCAGCCGACUGUGGUCAUUAGUGGCUGUUGGCAGAACAGUGUGUGAUGCUUUUUAAUAAAUAAAAUUUGAUUUUCACAUGUAGGAGGGGGGAAAAGAACCGACUGCAAAUUAAUGACUGAAAUUCUCACUGUGGCUGACAGUGAAUUCAGAAUACUCAGAGUUUUCCACAGUAAAUCAAAGAUGACAAGUAAUUUUGCGGGGCAAAGUGACAAAAGCUUGACUGAUUACCGGACCAUCGAUACCAAUUUCCAGUGCUGCUCUUCCGUCUCUCUGGCGGCUGGAGGUUUUUCUGUGUGUUUAGAUUGGUGUGUGUUUAGAUUGGUGUAUUGGUGUGUGUGUGUGUGGAGUUUUUCUGUGUGUUUAGAUUGGUGUGUGUUUAGAUUGGUG